CUUUUACGUCGGCCUUCGCGAGCGUUUGGUCGGGUGGUAGGAACAAUGGCGCUGUCUUCAGUGGCACAGUGGAGCAGCUCUGAAGAUGCAAAGAUACACGAAAAAACUUCCAGAACAUCUGGGAGAAUAUUUAAUGGAAAAUCGCUUGGUUAAAACCUGACACUCUUAACAGGUAUGUGUUGUUUUAGUACUUUAUGAUUGAGCAUACCAUUUAAUCCACACCUAAACUAAAUCAAAUUUUUUUUGUCAGUGAACAGCGUUCUGAGUGUGGACGAGUAGCCAGUGAAGAUAAUGAAUGUCGAACGUGACUGACUAGCAGCUUCAUUUUGAAGUAGGUUGUAUGGCUUAAAACUUCUGUAGUAUUUGUACUAUAAUACUUGCCUUUUAGCAUUACCUUGGUUUGUGGUCAGUGUCACAGAAGUGCAGUUUAAUGUAUUAUGUGUACAUAUACAAGGUCUGAUUGGUCUAAUCAAUGAUGAAACCUAUCCCGAAGCUGAUAACCUGAAGAAAAAUAAGUACGGAUUCGGCUUCUGAGAUUAAGACCAGUAAUUCAGAGGUGGAGUAAAUUUUGUUGCCGUGAUUUUAUAACAGUUGUGUUAUAAAAUCCUGGGGUUUUUUUUUUCUGCCAACAGUGAGGGUCGCUGUCUGCCCAUUGAUAGAGGCCAGAUUGUCUUGGAAGUUCCAAAGUUGCAACGAUUUCUGUAAGUGGAGUUUUUCUGUUUGCUUAGAGAUCAGUGAAUAUUGUGUCCUUGGUCUUAUCUGUGAUGAUCUUAUCCCGAACCUGAACUUCUGUUGAAAAAAAAACUUUUACGGAUCUGGCUUCUGAGAUGGACCGUUAUAAGGACAAUACUUUUUUUUUUUAAUACUUUUAAUGCUUUUACAUAUGUUGUAAUGUUUGUAGUCUUGUAAGAAUCUCGUGUUUUUCCUUUUCUAGGGCUAGUGCCACGAGGUUUACUUGACUGUUGUGUGAAAAGCUGAUAAGAAAACCAUCCAGAAAA
This 998-nucleotide small RNA is filed under the name Pan troglodytes (chimpanzee). RNAcentral describes it as "retained intron". The stretch from base 757 to 829 matches the Rfam family "Small nucleolar RNA SNORD50". Lineage: Eukaryota; Metazoa; Chordata; Mammalia; Primates; Hominidae. The record is from RNAcentral.